UGCAGUCGACGGCAGCACAGAGGAGCUUGCUCCUUGGGUGGCGAGUGGCGGACGGGUGAGGAAUACAUCGGAAUCUACUCUUUCGUGGGGGAUAACGUAGGGAAACUUACGCUAAUACCGCAUACGACCUUCGGGUGAAAGCAGGGGAUCGCAAGACCUUGCGCGAUUGAAUGAGCCGAUGUCGGAUUAGCUAGUUGGCGGGGUAAAGGCCCACCAAGGCGACGAUCCGUAGCUGGUCUGAGAGGAUGAUCAGCCACACUGGAACUGAGACACGGUCCAGACUCCUACGGGAGGCAGCAGUGGGGAAUAUUGGACAAUGGGCGCAAGCCUGAUCCAGCCAUACCGCGUGGGUGAAGAAGGCCUUCGGGUUGUAAAGCCCUUUUGUUGGGAAAGAAAAGCACACGGUUAAUACCCGAGUGUUCUGACGGUACCCAAAGAAUAAGCACCGGCUAACUUCGUGCCAGCAGCCGCGGUAAUACGAAGGGUGCAAGCGUUACUCGGAAUUACUGGGCGUAAAGCGUGCGUAGGUGGUGAUUUAAGUCCGUUGUGAAAGCCCUGGGCUCAACCUGGGAAUUGCAGUGGAUACUGGGUCACUAGAGUGUGGUAGAGGAUAGUGGA
Molecule: ribosomal RNA, 618 nt
Filed under: uncultured bacterium
Lineage: Bacteria
Description: bacterial SSU rRNA
Rfam family: Bacterial small subunit ribosomal RNA
Source: RNAcentral